This is a long non-coding RNA of Hipposideros armiger (great roundleaf bat), 625 nucleotides long. RefSeq lists it as uncharacterized. The record is from RefSeq and is a predicted model, not a curated record. NCBI's taxonomy places the organism in Eukaryota, Metazoa, Chordata, Mammalia, Chiroptera, Hipposideridae. The transcript has 3 exons.
GGCCGCCCCCGUCCCCAGCAGCGGGGAAAGGGUGGUGCUGAAGCGGACCUAGAAGGUCCAACAGGCUAGCGAGAGAGUGGUGACAGAAAUGCUACGUAAGUGCCUCGGAAGUUUUAUGGGAGACGUCGUCCAGGAGAAGCUAGCGUGCUAGAGAAGCCCUCCAUGACCCUCUGAGCUGCUGGCUGAGCCGCUCACAAACCGCGAACAAACUCUGGUCUCCCACUCUUUCCAACCUCAGCAUAUUGGUGCCACUCUCAGCCACGUGGUUUGGACAAUAUCACAUCAUUGAUGCCAAAUCGGUAGUCGCUGUUAGGAUCUGCAGGCUUCGUAGCUACACUGGAAUGGCUUUCUCCACCCCACUCACUGCUGGUCUCUUGGGGGUACAGGGCACUGUAUGCCUAGCCUGCUGGGCCUCACUCAAGGUGGUGCUGGGCCUCACUCGCCAUGGCACCCACACAGGGGCCUCAGCCUGGCCCCUCGCUUCUUGAAGCUGAGUGACCAGGGCAGAGCGGCCAGAAUGCACACGGCCCAGGCCUAGCAGCUCUCAGCUGAACGGUCAAACUCCUGUGGAGUCCCACGUGGAGGGAGACGCAUUGACCGUGAGGAGCGUCAGAAGACAAGACGC